CCUUAGAACCCCUCCAGCCUUGCAGCCUGCCCAGAAAGCAGUCCUUUGGAGAGAGACACAGCAAGCAUAUACUCAUUCGUCUCCAGGGGCAAAGCAGAACAUCAAAUGAUAAUUUUUUAGAUAAAUCAUUCAAUAAAGACUUCACUUUCAUCUCAAGAAACCAGGGAGAAGAAAAAAGACUGGUGAAGCCCACCAUGCAGAUCUGAACUGAGAAGAUGGCUCCCUCUGAAAACUGCCUGUCCCAUUAGACAGCUAGAUUGGUGGUAUCUUCUGUGAUUGAUUAUCCAGUUCAAGGAAAUGGGAUGGCUGAUCAGCACUCAAAGCUGUUUACAAGGAACAUCAGACGAUCAUCAGGGCAAGGGGAAAUCAUAGUGAAGCCUGAAGAAAUCAGAAGAAACACCCCAUCCAUUUGGAAUGAUGUUGAUGAUCCCUACCCACCUGCCGGAGAAUGGAUUAGAUGAGUUCUGGAAAUCCUUUCUGGAUCUAUGAUUUC
Molecule: long non-coding RNA, 493 nt
Organism: Tachyglossus aculeatus (Australian echidna)
Lineage: Eukaryota; Metazoa; Chordata; Mammalia; Monotremata; Tachyglossidae
Exons: 3
Source: RefSeq, a predicted model, not a curated record